Molecule: small nucleolar RNA, 136 nt
Organism: Manihot esculenta (cassava)
Lineage: Eukaryota; Viridiplantae; Streptophyta; Magnoliopsida; Malpighiales; Euphorbiaceae
Product: small nucleolar RNA Z247
Exons: 1
Source: RefSeq, a predicted model, not a curated record
CCUAUUACUGAUGAAAGUUUAGUCUGUGAUGUACUUGCUGGUUUGGGACCUGAGUAUCGUCCCUUUGCUAGAGUUCAAGAAGCUCGGCACUCAUCAAAUUCUUUUGAUGAAUUGUAUGCGUUGCUGCUUAGUGAAG